UGCCAGCAGCCGCGGUAAUACGGAGGGUGCAAGCGUUAUCCGGAAUCAUUGGGUUUAAAGGGUGCGUAGGCGGGACAAUAAGUCAGUGGUGAAAGCCUACAGCUUAACUGUAGAAAUGCCAUUGAUACUGUUGUUCUUGAGUCUGGUUGAGGUUGGCGGAAUGUGACAUGUAGCGGUGAAAUGCAUAGAUAUGUCACAGAACACCGAUUGCGUAGGCAGCUAACUAAACCAGUACUGACGCUGAGGCACGAAAGCGUGGGUAGCGAACAGGAUUAGAUA
This 279-nucleotide ribosomal RNA is filed under the name uncultured bacterium. RNAcentral's name for it is "partial 16S ribosomal RNA". It matches the Rfam family "Bacterial small subunit ribosomal RNA", at positions 506 to 784 of the family's 1533-position model. The record is from RNAcentral.